UACAGAGGGGGCAAGCGUUGUUCGGAAUUACUGGGCGUAAAGGGCGCGUAGGCGGCCUUCUAAGUCGAACGUGAAAUCCCCGGGCUCAACCCGGGAACUGCGUCCGAUACUGGAAGGCUUGAAUCCGGGAGAGGGAUGCGGAAUUCCAGGUGUAGCGGUGAAAAUGCGUAGAUAUCUGGAGGAACACCGGUGGCGAAGGCGGCAUCCUGGACCAUUACUGACACUGAAAAGCGAAAGCCAGGGGAGCAAACGGG
This 254-nucleotide ribosomal RNA is filed under the name uncultured bacterium. RNAcentral describes it as "partial 16S ribosomal RNA". It matches the Rfam family "Bacterial small subunit ribosomal RNA", at positions 524 to 776 of the family's 1533-position model. The record is from RNAcentral.